AGUGAACGCUGGCGGUAGGCCUAACACAUGCAAGUCGAACGGCAGCACAGUAAGAGCUUGCUCUUACGGGUGGCGAGUGGCGGACGGGUGAGGAAUACAUCGGAAUCUACUUUUUCGUGGGGGAUAACGUAGGGAAACUUACGCUAAUACCGCAUACGACCUACGGGUGAAAGCAGGGGAUAUUAGGACCUUGCGCGAUUGAAUGAGCCGAUGUCGGAUUAGCUAGUUGGCGGGGUAAAGGCCCACCAAGGCGACGAUCCGUAGCUGGUCUGAGAGGAUGAUCAGCCACACUGGAACUGAGACACGGUCCAGACUCCUACGGGAGGCAGCAGUGGGGAAUAUUGGACAAUGGGCGCAAGCCUGAUCCAGCCAUACCGCGUGGGUGAAGAAGGCCUUCGGGUUGUAAAGCCCUUUUGUUGGGAAAGAAAAGCAGCAGGUUAAUACCCCGCUGUUCUGACGGUACCCAAAGAAUAAGCACCGGCUAACUUCGUG
Molecule: ribosomal RNA, 492 nt
Filed under: uncultured bacterium
Lineage: Bacteria
Description: partial 16S ribosomal RNA
Rfam family: Bacterial small subunit ribosomal RNA
Source: RNAcentral